RNAcentral lists this ribosomal RNA (819 nucleotides) under uncultured bacterium. RNAcentral describes it as "bacterial SSU rRNA". It matches the Rfam family "Bacterial small subunit ribosomal RNA", at positions 28 to 896 of the family's 1533-position model. The record is from RNAcentral.
AACGAACGCUGGCGGCAGGCUUAACACAUGCAAGUCGAACGCCCCGCAAGGGGAGUGGCAGACGGGUGAGUAACGCGUGGGAACGUGCCCUUCGGUUCGGAAUAACUCAGGGAAACUUGAGCUAAUACCGGAUACGUGCGAGAGCAGAAAGAUUUAUCGCCGAAGGAUCGGCCCGCGUCCGAUUAGCUAGUUGGUGAGGUAACGGCUCACCAAGGCGACGAUCGGUAGCUGGUCUGAGAGGAUGAUCAGCCACAUUGGGACUGAGACACGGCCCAAACUCCUACGGGAGGCAGCAGUGGGGAAUAUUGGACAAUGGGCGCAAGCCUGAUCCAGCCAUGCCGCGUGAGUGAUGAAGGCCUUAGGGUUGUAAAGCUCUUUCGCCAGGGACGAUAAUGACGGUACCUGGAUAAGAAGCCCCGGCUAACUUCGUGCCAGCAGCCGCGGUAAUACGAAGGGGGCUAGCGUUGUUCGGAUUUACUGGGCGUAAAGCGCACGUAGGCGGAUUUUUAAGUCAGGGGUGAAAUCCCGAGGCUCAACCUCGGAACUGCCCUUGAUACUGGAAGUCUCGAGUCCGGGAGAGGUGAGUGGAACUGCGAGUGUAGAGGUGAAAUUCGUAGAUAUUCGCAAGAACACCAGUGGCGAAGGCGGCUCACUGGCCCGGUACUGACGCUGAGGUGCGAAAGCGUGGGGAGCAAACAGGAUUAGAUACCCUGGUAGUCCACGCCGUAAACGAUGGAUGCUAGCCGUUGGGGAGCUUGCUCUUCAGUGGCGCAGCUAACGCUUUAAGCAUCCCGCCUGGGGAGUACGGUCGCAAGAUUA